UGGCCAGCAGCAGCACAGAAGUUCCACUGG
RNAcentral lists this non-coding RNA (30 nucleotides) under Homo sapiens (human). The record is from RNAcentral. Lineage: Eukaryota; Metazoa; Chordata; Mammalia; Primates; Hominidae.